Non-coding RNA from Cinara cedri, 210 nucleotides. The record is from the annotation of a GenBank genome assembly. Lineage: Eukaryota; Metazoa; Arthropoda; Insecta; Hemiptera; Aphididae.
CCUGCACUAAAAUAACGGACUAACGAAUCGGUACAAUACUUGGUUAGUAUAAACGAUAAGUCAGAAUGAUACGUCAUAUCAUGUUAUUUUGUAUAAUAAUAUUAUGUUUAUUAGAAAAUAAGGUCAAGAGAAGAUUAGACAUCCUUAUCUCCCUAUGAGCACGGUCCUAAUCAGAACGGUAAUAAUAAUAUUAUACGACUGAAUUCUGAU